AUGAAACGUUGGCGGAUGCCUAAUACAUGCAAGUCGAACGGUGACGAUUUUGUAGUAAUACGAAUGAAAUCACAGUGGCGAACGGGUGAGUAACGCGUUGGUGAUCUGCCUCGAAGUGUGGAAUAACGCUCCGAAAGGAGCGCUAAUACCGCAUGUGCUCUCGAUGUUUAGAAAGUUGAGAGUAAAGGAUUUAUUCGCUUCGAGAGGAGCCUGCGUCCCAUCAGCUGGUUGGUAGGGUAACGGCCUACCAAGGCAAUGACGGGUAGGGGACCUGAGAGGGUGGCCCCCCACAAUGGAACUGAAACACGGUCCAUACACCUACGGGUGGCAGCAGUAGGGAAUAUUAGAAAUGGACGAAAGUCUGAUCUAGCGACACCGCGUGUGCGAAGAAGGCCUUCGGGUUGUAAAGCACUUUUUGGAAGGAAUAGGAAGGAAGGUACUUCCAGAAUAAGUCUCGGCUAACUACGUG
This 469-nucleotide ribosomal RNA is filed under the name uncultured bacterium. Its description in RNAcentral is "bacterial SSU rRNA". It matches the Rfam family "Bacterial small subunit ribosomal RNA", at positions 32 to 507 of the family's 1533-position model. The record is from RNAcentral.